GAUGAAAGACUGAAAAGGAGAGCUUACUCGCUUAAGCGCUAGAUACAAUUUAUGUUGUAUAAGACACUUUAUGGUGGUUCUGGAGUUGCGGAAGAGCAAAUUCAAUGAUGGCAGUUGCUGUAGUGGAGUGGUGAGAGCGGCACAUAUGCAUUCUAGGAGAAAAUUGUGAAAUGACAGAUUCCGGGUGUGAUACUGAGGGAAUGACUAACUAAUAGGAGGGGCGCUCCAGGCUGUUAGCUUUGAAAAAGCAGUUUGCACAUUACUUUAUCUUGUCAAUCAGAUUCCUGGAAUGGAAGAGGCCCAAGCCAGAAUAUCCCGAGUAAAGCGCCACCUCUGGCACCCAGAUCACCACGCCACUCGCUUUGCAUAUAUUUAUAUCCAAUGAAAGACUUUUUUUUCUAAUCCUGUUGGAACAAGGAAUGACUGCCAAAUGUGAUUUUUAAAUGUACUUUUAAGCUGUUCCUGUUUUUUUUUCCCUUAACCACUGAACUGAAACAUGGAGAGGUGUUUACUGCUACGACGGGAUUUGAAAGUUACAGAUUAUUUCUUUUCAUAAGUCAAUAAAAGCCUUUACUUUAAAAAUAGU
Long non-coding RNA from Dunckerocampus dactyliophorus (ringed pipefish), 586 nucleotides. RefSeq lists it as uncharacterized. The record is from RefSeq and is a predicted model, not a curated record. The transcript is spliced from 3 exons. Lineage: Eukaryota; Metazoa; Chordata; Actinopteri; Syngnathiformes; Syngnathidae.